RNAcentral lists this long non-coding RNA (287 nucleotides) under Mytilus galloprovincialis (Mediterranean mussel). Lineage: Eukaryota; Metazoa; Mollusca; Bivalvia; Mytilida; Mytilidae. The record is from RNAcentral.
UUAUGUUAAAAGGUAUUAUUAACCAACUUACUACAAUAUGUAUAGAAAUGCCCAUGCUUUAUAAAAGGAAAAUUUCGACAUCUGGUCAUUAUGAACGGAGAAAUUGCUACAGCCAGUCAUUACGAGAUCUCAGUCAUGCAUUACGAAAUCUCAGUCAUGCAUUACGAAACCACACCCGUGCAUUACGAAAUCACAGUCAUGCAUUAUGAACAGUUGAAACGGGACAUCGAUUAAAACAAAAUGUCGAUUAUUUCUGUAAAUAAGUGUGACAUUUUUUUAUUCUUUUU